Long non-coding RNA from Acanthopagrus latus (yellowfin seabream), 659 nucleotides. RefSeq lists it as uncharacterized. The transcript is spliced from 2 exons. Lineage: Eukaryota; Metazoa; Chordata; Actinopteri; Spariformes; Sparidae. The record is from RefSeq and is a predicted model, not a curated record.
UCUGCUGAACCGCGCGCUGUGCGCACACGUGUCACCACGGGUUUGUUCCGCCGUUUCAGCAGAGAUUGCGCGAGGCUACUGAUGCUGGCAGCAGUGAUGUUUGGCAGUAAGAAAUCCUCCCCUGAUGAGCCGAAGCUCUUCAGCUGUACCCGACCAGAAAAUGAAGAGGACAGCGUGCUUUUAUCCAACGAGACAAGUCAAGUUACAGGAGUUAGAAUGUUUCAAUCACCAGCGCCAGGAAACUGUAAAGUGACUUUUUUUCAGCACUUCCUGCUCCAACAUACUCUGAAGAGUCCCACUGGAGUGCAGGUUGUGUAAACGGCACCGCUGUGUUGUGUGAAAACAGAAACACUCAAGUUAAACUUAAAAUAUGGAGCUGUUUUAACCUCCCCUGUAGUGCUGCCCCUGGGAUAACAUUUGUCGAACUGAAACCCACAUCAGCGCUACUUAAUGUAGCGGUCCGAAUGCUCCAGCGGAGCCGAUCGGUGACUGACAGUCGGAGGCUGCAGCAGGACCAGUCGGCUCCCAGGUGUCAGCGCUGCGCGAGCGUGGAACCAGAUGCUGCAAGAAAGAAAAACAAGGAGGCAUCCGCAGACAGUUCUCCCCUGAUAUCACUCCUAUAAAAAAAAAGAGAGGAGGAAAUAAAAAGGAAAACUUCA